RNAcentral lists this ribosomal RNA (400 nucleotides) under uncultured bacterium. RNAcentral describes it as "bacterial SSU rRNA". It matches the Rfam family "Bacterial small subunit ribosomal RNA", at positions 355 to 747 of the family's 1533-position model. The record is from RNAcentral.
UGGGGAAUAUUGGACAAUGGGCGCAAGCCUGAUCCAGCCAUGCCGCGUGUGUGAAGAAGGCCUUCGGGUUGUAAAGCACUUUUGUUGGGGAAGAAAAGCAAUUGGUUAAUACCCGGUUGUCAUGACGGUACCCAAAGAAUAAGCACCGGCUAACUUCGUGCCAGCAGCCGCGGUAAUACGAAGGGUGCAAGCGUUACUCGGAAUUACUGGGCGUAAAGCGUGCGUAGGUGGUUUGUUAAGUCUGAUGUGAAAGCCCUGGGCUCAACCUGGGAACUGCAUUGGAUACUGGCAGACUGGAGUGCGGUAGAGGGUAGCGGAAUUCCCGGUGUAGCAGUGAAAUGCGUAGAUAUCGGGAGGAACAUCUGUGGCGAAGGCGGCUACCUGGACCAGCACUGACACU